AUGGAUCACAGGUGAC
Molecule: ribosomal RNA, 16 nt
Filed under: Pseudoidium aff. neolycopersici MUMH 5562
Lineage: Eukaryota; Fungi; Ascomycota; Leotiomycetes; Helotiales; Erysiphaceae
Description: partial 28S ribosomal RNA
Source: RNAcentral